This 254-nucleotide ribosomal RNA is filed under the name uncultured bacterium. Its description in RNAcentral is "partial 16S ribosomal RNA". It matches the Rfam family "Bacterial small subunit ribosomal RNA", at positions 524 to 776 of the family's 1533-position model. The record is from RNAcentral.
UACGAAGGGGGCGAGCGUUGUUCGGAUUUACUGGGCGUAAAGGGCGCGUAGGCGGCCGAUCAAGUCAGGCGUGAAAGCCCCGGGCUCAACCUGGGAAUGGCGCUUGGGACUGGUUGGCUUGAGUUCGGGAGAGGAGAGUGGAAUUCCCAGUGUAGAGGUGAAAUUCGUAGAUAUUGGGAAGAACACCGGUGGCGAAGGCGGCUCUCUGGACCGAGACUGACGCUGAGUGAGCGAAAGCCAGGGGAGCAAACGGG